UUUGACCCUUCAGGAAGUUCAGAAAUCAGACGAGUGUCUCUUUAGGCUACUGGAAGUUGUGAAAAUCUCCAAAAGAGCUGUGCUAAAUGAUUGUAACUUAACAGAUGAGAGCUGUUCAAAUUUGGCUAAAGCUCUCACAUCAGAUAACAAUCUGGUAGAGCUGAAUAUGAGCAAUAAUAAUCUAAAGGAUUCAGGAGUAAAGCAGCUCUGCAUUGGAUUGGAGAAUAUUAUGUGUAAAUUGGAGAUACUGAAGUUAAUACGCUGUGAUAUGACAGAUGAAGGUUGUUCUGCUCUGACUUCAGCUCUGAAAUCAAACCCAUCACACCUGAGAGAGCUGAACCUCAGUGGAAAUAAACUAGGAGACUCUGGAGUGAAAAACCUCAGUGAUCUACUGAUG
This is a long non-coding RNA of Cyprinus carpio (common carp), 397 nucleotides long. RefSeq lists it as uncharacterized. Lineage: Eukaryota; Metazoa; Chordata; Actinopteri; Cypriniformes; Cyprinidae. The record is from RefSeq and is a predicted model, not a curated record. The transcript has 3 exons.